UGUAGGCUCUGUCAUGCAACAUAAUCAAUAAUUCGGUGAUUUCUCCACCUUUUAACAGUUCUGUGCUAUCUUUGUUUUUAUCGUUGUAAACUCCCAUUGCCCUGAAAGGACAGAGUAAAUAACUGCAGAAUCAUUGUUUCCUUUGCUACAGGGAAACAGUAUUUGAAAUUUAUUGGUGAAAAUUCUUCAGAUAUUUUAGCAGUGCACUUACUCCUAGAUUCAGAGAAAAUUUGCUCAAUUCAGGAGCCAAAUGGUUUCCAAACCAUCUUCUUAAAGUCUGGGAAGAAAUCUUGAAAAGCCUUUAUGGGGUGACUCCUAUCUCACCUGUAAAAGAGCCCAAAACCAAGGCCACGCCAUAUUAAACAAUCAGAAGUCUCUCUCUGGUGGAGAGAAAUGACAUUUACUGAGACUUGUCUAAGGGAUGCAGUUAAAAAGGACCAAACCAGAAGUUUUAAUUCUGAAAACUUUAGGCUGAAAUGAGUUUUUUAAAUCUCUAUAAUGUUACAUGUAGGAAAUCAACAAAAUAACUACAUCUAAUUAUUUACUUUAGGGACAUUUGGUUGCCAUUUAAAGCAGAAAGAGUUUAGAAAUGCUCAUAAUCUAUGGAAAGGAUUCAUCUAGGAUUUUAUAUGUCUGUUCUCAAGCAAUCAGCUCUUUAAAGUCCUCUCCAACACUUCAAGAGACUUUCUUUUCUCAUCCCCAAAACACAUCUUUCUUCAGCCGCUGUCCCUUUAGUGUCUUCAAAGCACCACUCUCUCCUUUUCUAACUCCGUAACACUCAAGUUAUGUUCUCACUGUCCCAAAAAUCUGGUUUGCCCAGAAUCCAUCAGAAUAUGCUUGAAAAGCUACUAGAAGCACAGACAGAGCAUAGUAUUCACCAGCCACCAAAAGACAGCCUCCCUCAGGAGAUGAGAAAGGAGACGCCUCUUCUAUCUAGGAAGCCUGCUAGGUUUGGAAAGCAGGUGGGAAGAAUUGGAAGAUCCUGCUCUGACGUCAUACACCCCAUCCCCAUGCCAGGUCCUGGCUCCUCAUCUGUGUUUCCUUUGAUGAAGCUUUCCAUGAGCUGAUGAAUCAGCAGAAAGGAGACUGGCUUCCUGGGUAGCCUACACAGUUCCUGCUCUCAUCAGUGCUGGCCAGCUUCUGUGGUUAACCUCGCCCUUCCGGACUGGCACCAGAAGACACCCAUGGCUCACUACAGAGUGUGGUGGUUGGUGCAGAGCCCGUGCUGCUGUUAGAUGGUCAGUACCACUCUCUGGUGCCCACGUUAGGAAGAGAGGCCCAGCUCAGGAGAGCUGCUGUACACAGAUGGAAGAAGAGGAGGGGAAGCGAUGAGCUGCAAACUAUUGAUCUCACCAUAGCAUCUAUACCGUCUUACCUGCUCUUGCUUUACAGACAUGACCAGAUGGCCUCCAGAGGUCCCAGAGGUUGGACCAGAUGAUCUUCAGAGGCACCUUCCAAGCUCAGCCACUCAGUGACCCAGGGAGGGAGCACAGCCAAGAGGAACUGCCACGAGGAAUCCUCACUCAUUAAUAUCUCUGGCCACAUCAGGAAUGUCCCAUUGCCCCUGGCCCCAGGGUUACAGUAGUAUCAGGUGCUUCCAGUCCUAGGUCAUCUUCCAUGAUAGCCAGGAGCAGUGUCUGGUUAUGGAGGGAAUAAGUAGGCUACCUGGUUUGUACAGCUGGUUGCUACUCUGGCAGAUUUGAUGAUGUGUAUAGAUACAGGCUUUUGAGCUGUGUGCUGUGGGUGUCUUGCCUGGAGACAAAAAGGUGGUUUCCAAAUUGUGGAAAACCACUGGGGUGAAAAAGCUAGAGGGGGAGUUGGUGGGAUAUGUGACACGAUGUAACAAAUACUGUAGACCCCUGACAGAGAGAGUGGCGAAGUGUUGUUUGGGCACUCUGAGGGGGUUGAGAAGCUUCCCUCAGCUUGGUGGUAGACUUCUUGUGUUUCUGCUAAACCCUACGUAGUGUGUGUCCCCUGACUCUAUCCUUAUGUCACCUUUAGCUGAUCAAAAAACCCUCCCAAAGUCCCAAUUCCUGUAUCUCUG
Molecule: long non-coding RNA, 2044 nt
Filed under: Anser brachyrhynchus (Pink-footed goose)
Lineage: Eukaryota; Metazoa; Chordata; Aves; Anseriformes; Anatidae
Description: lncRNA (ENSABRG00000005267.1)
Source: RNAcentral